Molecule: unclassified non-coding RNA, 21 nt
Filed under: Mus musculus (house mouse)
Lineage: Eukaryota; Metazoa; Chordata; Mammalia; Rodentia; Muridae
Description: oocyte_clustered_small_RNA11724
Source: RNAcentral
UGCUGUGCAGGGAGGAGGCAG